AAACGGUAGCUAAUACCGCAUAACGUCGCAAGACCAAAGAGGGGGACCUUAGGGCCUCUUGCCAUCGGAUGUGCCCAGAUGGGAUUAGCUAGUAGGUGGGGUAACGGCUCACCUAGGCGACGAUCCCUAGCUGGUCUGAGAGGAUGACCAGCCACACUGGAACUGAGACACGGUCCAGACUCCUACGGGAGGCAGCAGUGGGGAAUAUUGCACAAUGGGCGCAAGCCUGAUGCAGCCAUGCCGCGUGUAUGAAGAAGGCCUUCGGGUUGUAAAGUACUUUCAGCGGGGAGGAAGGGAGUAAAGUUAAUACCUUUGCUCAUUGACGUUACCCGCAGAAGAAGCACCGGCUAACUCCGUGCCAGCAGCCGCGGUAAUACGGAGGGUGCAAGCGUUAAUCGGAAUUACUGGGCGUAAAGCGCACGCAGGCGGUUUGUUAAGUCAGAUGUGAAAUCCCCGGGCUCAACCUGGGAACUGCAUCUGAUACUGGCAAGCUUGAGUCUCGUAGAGGGGGGUAGAAUUCCAGGUGUAGCGGUGAAAUGCGUAGAGAUCUGGAGGAAUACCGGUGGCGAAGGCGGCCCCCUGGACGAAGACUGACGCUCAGGUGCGAAAGCGUGGGGAGCAAACAGGAUUAGAUACCCUGGUAGUCCACGCCGUAAACGAUGUCGACUUGGAGGUUGUGCCCUUGAGGCGUGGCUUCCGGAGCUAACGCGUUAAGUCGACCGCCUGGGGAGUACGGCCGCAAGGUUAAAACUCAAAUGAAUUGACGGGGGCCCGCACAAGCGGUGGAGCAUGUGGUUUAAUUCGAUGCAACGCGAAGAACCUUACCUGGUCUUGACAUCCACGGAAGUUUUCAGAGAUGAGAAUGUGCCUUCGGGAACCGUGAGACAGGUGCUGCAUGGCUGUCGUCAGCUCGUGUUGUGAAAUGUUGGGUUAAGUCCCGCAACGAGCGCAACCCUUAUCCUUUGUUGCCAGCGGUCCGGCCGGGAACUCAAAGGAGACUGCCAGUGAUAAACUGGAGGAAGGUGGGGAUGACGUCAAGUCAUCAUGGCCCUUACGACCAGGGCUACACACGUGCUACAAUGGCGCAUACAAAGAGAAGCGACCUCGCGAGAGCAAGCGGACCUCAUAAAGUGCGUCGUAGUCCGGAUUGGAGUCUGCAACUCGACUCCAUGAAGUCGGAAUCGCUAGUAAUCGUGGAUCAGAAUGCCACGGUGAAUACGUUCCCGGGCCUUGUACACACCGCCCGUCACACCAUGGGAGUGGGUUGCAAAAGAAGUAGGUAGCUUAACCUUCGGGAGGGCGCUUACCACUUUGUGAUUCAUGACUGGGGUGAAGUCGUAACAAGGUAACCGUAGGGGAACCUGCGGUUGGAUCACCUCCUUACCUUAAAGAAGC
RNAcentral lists this ribosomal RNA (1395 nucleotides) under Escherichia coli. RNAcentral's name for it is "bacterial SSU rRNA". It matches the Rfam family "Bacterial small subunit ribosomal RNA". The record is from RNAcentral. Lineage: Bacteria; Pseudomonadati; Pseudomonadota; Gammaproteobacteria; Enterobacterales; Enterobacteriaceae.